This 245-nucleotide ribosomal RNA is filed under the name uncultured Sporobacter sp. RNAcentral's name for it is "partial 16S ribosomal RNA". It matches the Rfam family "Bacterial small subunit ribosomal RNA", at positions 524 to 768 of the family's 1533-position model. The record is from RNAcentral. Lineage: Bacteria; Bacillati; Bacillota; Clostridia; Eubacteriales; Oscillospiraceae.
UACGUAGGUGGCAAGCGUUGUCCGGAUUUACUGGGUGUAAAGGGCGUGUAGGCGGAGAUGCAAGUCAGGAGUGAAAUCUAGGGGCUCAACCCCUAAACUGCUUUUGAAACUGUAUCCCUUGAGUAUCGGAGAGGCAGGCGGAAUUCCUAGUGUAGCGGUGAAAUGCGUAGAUAUUAGGAGGAACACCAGUGGCGAAGGCGGCCUGCUGGACGACAACUGACGCUGAGGCGCGAAAGCGUGGGGAG